Molecule: non-coding RNA, 46 nt
Organism: Schistosoma mattheei
Lineage: Eukaryota; Metazoa; Platyhelminthes; Trematoda; Strigeidida; Schistosomatidae
Source: Rfam
CCACUGUUGAGGAGUCCCACAAUGGGACGAAACGUUCGUCCAGUGC